Molecule: ribosomal RNA, 429 nt
Filed under: Chloroflexota bacterium
Lineage: Bacteria; Bacillati; Chloroflexota
Description: Chloroflexi bacterium partial 16S ribosomal RNA
Rfam family: Bacterial small subunit ribosomal RNA
Source: RNAcentral
UGGGGAAUAUUCCACAAUGGGCGCAAGCCUGAUGCAGCCAUGCCGCGUGUAUGAAGAAGGCCUUCGGGUUGUAAAGUACUUUCAGCGGGGAGGAAGGGAGUAAAGUUAAUACCUUUGCUCAUUGACGUUUCCCGCAGAAGAAGCACCGGCUAUCUCCGUGCCAGCAGCCGCGGUAAUACGGAGGGUGCAAGCGUUAAUCGGAAUUACUGGGCGUGAAGCGCACGCAGGCGGUCUGUCAAGUCGGAUGUGAAAUCCCCGGGCUCAACCUGGUAACUGCAUCUGAUACUGGCAGACUGGAGUAACGAAGAGGGGGGUAGAAGUCCAGGAGUAGCGGUGAAAUGCGUGGAGAUCUGGAGGAAUACCGGUGGCGAAGGCGGCCCCCUGGACGAAGACUGACGCUCAGGUGCGAAAGAAUGGGGAGCAAACAGG